RNAcentral lists this ribosomal RNA (836 nucleotides) under uncultured marine bacterium. RNAcentral describes it as "bacterial SSU rRNA". It matches the Rfam family "Bacterial small subunit ribosomal RNA", at positions 56 to 940 of the family's 1533-position model. The record is from RNAcentral.
UGCAAGUCGAACGAAGUAGCAAUACUUAGUGGCAGACGGGUGAGUAACAUGUGGGUAUCUGCCCUUUGGCCUGGAAUAACACGAGGAAACUUGUGCUAAUACCGGAUAAGUCUUUACGGAGAAAGCUUUAUGCACCAUUGGAUGAGCCCGCACUUGAUUAGUUUGUUGGUGGGGUAAUGGCCUACCAAGACUGUGAUCAAUAGCUGAUUUGAGAGGAUGAUCAGCCACAUUGGGACUGAGACACGGCCCAAACUCCUACGGGAGGCAGCAGUGGGGAAUCUUGCACAAUGGAGGAAACUCUGAUGCAGCGAUGCCGCGUGAGUGAAGAAGGCCCUUGGGUUGUAAAGCUCUUUCGUCGGGGAAGAAAAUGACUGUACCCGAAUAAGAAGGUCCGGCUAACUUCGUGCCAGCAGCCGCGGUAAUACGAAGGGACCUAGCGUAGUUCGGAAUUACUGGGCUUAAAGAGUUCGUAGGUGGUUGAAAAAGUUAGUGGUGAAAUCCCAGAGCUUAACUCUGGAACUGCCAUUAAAACUUUUCAGCUAGAGUAUGAUAGAGGAAAGCAGAAUUUCUAGUGUAGAGGUGAAAUUCGUAGAUAUUAGAAAGAAUACCAAUUGCGAAGGCAGCUUUCUGGAUCAUUACCGACACUGAGGAACGAAAGCAUGGGUAGCGAAGAGGAUUAGAUACCCUCGUAGUCCAUGCCGUAAACGAUGUGUGUUAGACGUUGGAAAUUUACUUUCAGUGUCGCAGCGAAAGCGAUAAACACACCGCCUGGGGAGUACGACCGCAAGGUUAAGACUCAAAUGAAUUGACGGGGACCCGCACAAGUAGUGGAGCAU